This 494-nucleotide ribosomal RNA is filed under the name uncultured bacterium. RNAcentral describes it as "partial 16S ribosomal RNA". It matches the Rfam family "Bacterial small subunit ribosomal RNA", at positions 28 to 507 of the family's 1533-position model. The record is from RNAcentral.
GACGAACGCUGGCGGCGUGCUUAACACAUGCAAGUCGAACGGUGAAGCGCCUUCCUUUUUGGUGGGUGUGGAUGAGUGGCGAACGGGUGAGUAACACGUGAGUAACCUGCCCCCUUCUUCUGGAUAACCGCAUGAAAGUGUGGCUAAUACGGGAUAUUCUGGGUCUGUCGCAUGAUGGGUCUGGGAAAGAUAUUGUUUCGGUGGGGGAUGGGCUCGCGGCCUAUCAGCUUGUUGGUGGGGUGAUGGCCUACCAAGGCGGUGACGGGUAGCCGGCCUGAGAGGGUGGACGGUCACACUGGGACUGCGACACGGCCCAGACUCCUACGGGAGGCAGCAGUGGGGAAUAGUGCACAAUGGGCGCAAGCCUGAUGCAGCGACGCCGCGUGAGGGAUGGAGGCCUUCGGGUUGUGAACCUCUUUCGCCAGUGAAGCAGGCCUGCCUCGUUUGUGGGUGGGUUGACGGUAGCUGGAUAAGAAGCGCCGGCUAACUACGUG